Molecule: long non-coding RNA, 847 nt
Organism: Diabrotica virgifera virgifera (western corn rootworm)
Lineage: Eukaryota; Metazoa; Arthropoda; Insecta; Coleoptera; Chrysomelidae
Exons: 2
Source: RefSeq, a predicted model, not a curated record
AGGCCGUUCCAAGAUGCUGUCAAAAUUAAAACAAUAUGGCUACUGGAAUGCAAACAUUGAAUAUUAUUCUAUCAGGUUCUUAUGGUUUUAGAUCAUUUUAGUUGUUGUACAAAGAUUAAUUUAACAUUUUCUCUGGAAGUAUUAAUUUAGAAAGAUAAUAUGCCUCAUUGGUGUUGUGUUUUGAAGUGUGAAAUGCAAAGUAAUCGUGAUAAAGUUAGCUUUUACCACUUACCAUCAGUGCUACAUUCUAAGCACAAAACUGAACCAAUUUAACUAAAUAAGUUAUAGUUAUCAUCUGAGAGACAACAACAAUGGUAAAAUGCAAUAAAAUAUAAAGAUUUUACUAGCAAAAUGGAAAUUCCCCUGUAAUCAUCUUAUAUCUGGUAAGUUACAACAUUUGAACAUUAACGAUUUUUGAAGAUGUUAACAGUCUAAUCUUGUAGGAAAACCAGCCGACUUAACUGAUAAUAACAAUCCAGAUUGGGUUCCUUCAAUAAAUAUGGGGUAUAUAAACACAGUGAAAUGAGUUCCCCAAAAUCUAAAAUGGGAAUUAAGGUACCAAAGGAGAAUUAAAAGAAAAGGGUACCUACAAAAAAAAAUUGCUUUUUUUAUUCCUCUUGAAAUGAUUUAUAAGACACUGGACUGUCUUAUAUUCUACAAAUACUAGAAUCAGCUGAGAGAAGUGGUCUACAAAAACCCAGGAAGGAAACGGAAUAUGUGGCUUCGAAAGGCAAAAGAAAGGUUUACAAAGCAAAUGUGACACAUUUUUUUGAAAUAUUUAGGAAUAUCAGUAAAUUGCAUUAAAAAAAUGUAUGAAAAGAUUUUGUUCAAUAAAAAUGUUUAUAUU